UCUAGCUGUGGCUGGUUGAAUUUCACGAGGUUUAAUGAAUCUUAUUGUUAAUAGGAAGAUGUUGCUUCCCAGUGCUGUUUUCAUGAUUGUUCCUUAAAUUAAUCUGCUGUAAUCUCAAGAUGGCAGCUCCUGUCAGACGAAACAUAAGAAACAAGAAGAGAAAUGGCUGGAACAAAUACCUCAGACACUGAACAUCCAAUACUAUAAAGUGAUCUUUAACUGAGACAACUAGAACAUAAAUGGAUUAAAGUGGCUAGUAAUGGGAAAACAAGUACCCAUUCAAAGUGCAAUUGGAAGAAAUUUAAGACAAAGAAAGUUGCAUUAUAAAUGUAUUCACACUUACUGCUCUACUGAAAUAUGAGCCUGUACUCUUUCCUGAUUUUGUCUUCCUUACUAGGAAAUUAUUUAAUGUCCUCCUUUAAUGUGCUCAAUAUGUAAUGCAUUUAUAUCAAGUAACUGUUGUAGGUUGGUAAUUCAGUCUAAAAAGUUGUGAUUUAAUUGUGAUCGACAAAUAUGCGCUAAAACCAGUGUUCAUUGAUAUAAACCCUUAUCUGAACUUCAAGUGAAUGUAACAGACUGUUAAGGAUCCUUGAAAUAAACAAUAGCAAUCUCCAAAUUUUAAACCUUUUUAAAUUAGUCAUAAAGGCAUAACUGGCUUAAUAAAUUUAUUGUGCUUUAUUUCCAUUUUGACAUAUUUUAAUUCAUAACAGCUUAUUCUGAAACUUGAAUUUCUUUAAACUUAACUUUAAUUUAAAUUUAAAUUUAGUGUAAAUCAAUCAUUUUGAAUUGAAAGUUUUAAAAGAUAAAAUCAAAUGUUUUCACUAGAUAUGUUGAAAUGGUUCAAAUGGUUCUGUCUAUUAUCAGAGAAUGUACACAGUAUACAACCUGAAAUUCUUAGUCUUCACAGGCAGUGAAAUAUAGAAGAACCCCAAAAGAAUGAAUGACAGAAAAAUGUUGGAACCCCAAAGCCCCCUCCCCCUCCCCCAUGCAAGCCACAGCAAGGCUUCAACCUCCACCCUACAAAUGUUACAUUUGUAUUGAGUAUAUAUUUUAUGCUAAAUUUAUUAUUAAUCUAAAAUUGUCUUACAGUGACAUUCAUUGGUAAUUACAACAGUUUUAUUCUGGAGACAAGCAUUAAGUACAUACAUAUUACGUGUGAAAUGGGUGUGCCCUUCACAUAUUUCAUGAUCAUCAGAGGCACAUGAUUCUGAUUCAUGACAUGUUGGUAAAACAGACAACAUGCCUCAGAAAAUUCAUUUUUUUCGCAGUGUGUAUAAUCUGUUUUCAUAAACUCACCUUGUAAAACAAAAUUGCUUUGAAUGUGCUAAAUGUCAUCUUAGGUGUAAAAUUGAAUUCAAGAUGACCAUUCUAAUACAUUGUAAGAUAAAUCAACUUUUUGAUUUAUCUUACAAUGUAUAAAAUGAACUACUUGAGUAACAAAAAAAAGUUCCAAAGUGCUUCAUAUAUUGCUAAUUAAACAAGAAGUGAAAUCACAAACUACAUGAUGAAACAAGGGAAGUAGAGUCUGAAAAUUUGAACAAUUGGCUGACUUUAAGUGGAACCUUUAAGAUUGUGGUUCAAAAGGUUUCAAGAAAGGAAUUUCAAAGCUUUGGACACCAUGACUGAGCUGAAAAGAAUGUGUGUUAGACAUGAGUUAAGUUAUCACUGACUUAAUAACUACUUCAUUUUUUACCAACUCAGGUGGUAAAAUGAGAUUAAAAAACAACAUAUGAACAUCAAUAUCAGAACAGAUCUUAUUACCAUAUAAAAAUAGUAACUACAUCUAUAUUUAAACUGAGCCUGCAGAUCAAUUACCUUAUUGUAAAUAGUAAGAAAAUUAAUUGAAUGCCAAUUAGUGGAGAAAAUAAACAAGCAUUUUGAAACAAAUAAUGAAUAGUCAACGAGGAUUUCCAAAGGAAAAUCUUCCGUAACCACCCUUUUCAAGAAUCACAUCAUCUGGGUCCUUCCAACAUUGAGCAAGUGCCCAAUAUGGGAGAAGGUGACCUCUGUACCUUCUGAAAAAGAGGUGGAAAGGAGGCAACUUAUUUUGAGCUGAGGGUAGCAGUUUUUCAGUACUGAAAACCUUGUCCUAGUUAUUAUUGAGAAGGAAUCUUGAAGUUAGGUGUAUUUUUAUUUUCAUGAUGAUAAUGCUCCCACGGCAUUAGACAAUACCAAAACUUUAAAACCAGAACAGCAGAAAAUGUAGAAGUGAAGAGGUUAUGUGAUGUUGCAUGCAAUUUGCAGAUUGAGAACAGGUGGGGUUGCACAGGCUUCCUGUUUGCUUUAUUCUUUUUGAAUGUUUGCACAUCUUCUGGAGGCCUCAUGAACAUUUUCAGUCAAGCACCACCCGCUCCCACCAUUGACUGCAGCCACUUCACAUUGCUUGCUUACAAUAUUGCAAUGCUUAAAUCUGUAUUUCAGAUUUACCUCAAAGGGUAAUCAAUAAACCUCAUUGCUGGCACACCAUGGACAACAUGAAUGAACAGUUGUCGCUCUCUUGUGGGCCCAAGUAAUCUAAAAGCAGCUCCAGUGAACUGGAAGAGAAAUAAGUGUCUGCAUUCUCCUCACCACCUGCUUCCCCCCUCCCCUCCCCCCACCUCAUCCCUUGGAGGAGAUAAUACUGUCCUUUAUUGAAGCAGCACCAGCAGAGCUAAAGUUUGAAGACGACAGUUCGCUCAUACCUGUAGGCAUCAAUUUCAUUUCCUCCACCCCAACACAGUUAUCCCGAUAGACAUCACCAGUAUCACCUUCAACACAAAUCCUGAUUUGUGCUAUGAUGUGAAAAGACAAAGGAGAGUGGGGUUGAAGACACAAUGCCCUUCAAUUGGAAGUGCCCAGCCACCAGCGCAGUUGUAAAACUAAGGCAGGGUUUGCAUAUGUUGAGCACAAGACAUGACUGGCUUAUAUUAAGGGCAAGUGGAGAGAGCUAGCUGCCAGAUUUCAAUACAAAUAAAGAUCACUGUACAGUUAUUUUCUGUAUCAAAAUAAACUUCAUUUGUAAUAAAAAUUAUGUACGGGGUUAAACCAUGCAAUGACUUAUCAUUCAUAAAUGUGUUAAAGAGUGUUUUAUUACUUCCCUUAAAACCCAUAGACUGUUGCAACUCAAGUGGCCUCCGGGGGGGGGGUGUACACUACUACAAUAAUUGAGAGGGUUCUUCAUACUGCCCCACCACUCCCUAUCUAGUAGUGGAAGGACCCAGUAUGGUAGUCUUUCUCCAUCACAGUUAUUAUCAGGCCUGCCAGAAUGUCUGUGUGCAAUAACAAGGAGCUAGGAAAAGCCCAGCACUAACUUUAUCCAGAAUUUGGAAGAAAUGGGCACACUUGGGCUGGUCAUCUCAUAUGUAAAUCUGCUACAAUAGCACUUCAAUAUUCAUUAUCCCAUGGCUAGCAUUACCGCAAUACCCUUGGUCUCAUCUGUCAGUCAACCAACUCAAAUGAUCUGAAGGUGGAACAGCUUGAUGUGGAACUGCUUGAGAUUGUCCAGGAAAGCCAGUUGAAAUCUUUCCCAUUGCAAGUCAGUAACCUUACUGCAACCGUGCUGCAUAAUUUUCAGUCUCACCAUUCUACCCCCGUGUGCGUGAGAUAGACAUCAGAUUUGGGCAUUCAAGUUCACCAGCUCAUGUCAUCAGUAGCACGCUUACAUUAAGUACAAGGACUAACACAAAUAAUGAGAUGAUGCGUUGCUACAGAGGGCAGCAUGACCACUGAGUGACCACCAUUCUUUAAUUAGUACGUUGCUCACAUAUCAGCUGCACACUUUGGACGUUGACUCGUGUUGGGCUCCGGUACGUUCCGAGUCAGGGUUCCACAUUUAGAAGUGUCACUGGCACACUGUGCCAGCAGGGACAGGAGGAAACUACUUACCCCCACAAGUCUAUUCUGUCAAUCAGUGAGACUAACUCCAUUAUCCACCUUUCUCACUAAUUGCUAGGUACCUCUGUUUAACAAAACUCUUCAAAUUCACAUUUAGCAUUUCAAACACGAGAAAAUGUGCAGAUGCUGGAAAUUUAGCAUUGUUCAUUUAGCACCAAAAACUCACUUCCUGGUGCAAGCACCAGAAGGUAAAUCUCAAGGUAGCAUAUGGUGACAUAUACGCACUCAGACAGUGAAUUUACUUUGGCUUUGACUUUGAAGGGAACUCCUAAAGAACUCUGUUCUGCUGCUUGCAGAAGCCAGUCCCAACUCAUUGCAAAGUCUUUGCUUAUAAGCCUGAUUCUUACUUUUUAGACAAUGCCUGCUAUUGUUAAAAAUACCGAUCAGUUGAUAACUGGGGACGUUCUAGUUAACUCUGAUUCUGGUUAACUCCUCUUGCGAGGAAAGGCAAGGCUUGCUCCUGGAAAACGAUGUAGCUGUGCAGUGUUAUUGGGUGGCACAGUGGCAUUUGCUGCAGCUCUAGAGAGCCUGUUGGAGGGAAAAUGAUGUCCUUUACUCUAGUGGACAAUGAAAAAGCACUCCUUGACGAUACUGCAUAAUAUGUUUUGGUUGGUGCAUAUGAAAUAUUUUGGUGAGAACCUCUCUUUGUGAAUCACAAGUGUCUUAAGCAUUAUUUGAACAUAGGAGAGAUGUUGCUGUGACACUUCUGGACAUUGGCUCCUACAAAGGCCAUUCUGGUGAAGGACCCCUAGUAGGAUCCCACGUGCAGAGGUGUAAUAGCAGCAAUUCUCCUUUUCCAUUCCCAUGCAGGUUGUCCUUCUUUAUAUUUCCCACUCCACAUUCUCUCCGUGAGCUCAGAGGAGUGGAUACAAAUGUACCCUCAUCCGGUGUAAUGCAAAAGCCUUGAGGGCAAUGGAAAUUUCUUUAACUCCUGGCAUAGCAAUGACUAUUCUUUAAGAACACAAUUUUACCCAAAACAAUACACCAUGAAAAUCAGCUAGAAAAUAAUUUGUAAGUAACAUUGUCUUUCAAAAGUAGUGGAAAAGGGCCUUUCCUUCUGUAGGAUCCAUAUCUAGCCAUGUGAGGGUAACAAAUGGAUUAGUAUUCCAUUGAAAUCCAGUUUGGAAACACCAUAUCAAACCAGUUGUUGAAUAAGGACUGAUGUCAUGAUCUGUUUUCUCUUUGUACUCUUGGCAAGCAUUAAAACUGCAUACACCAACAUGGUGACUGGCCCAACGUAACGCUUUAAGUUGCACUGAAAUCGAUUUAGCAUCUAACCAACAGGUGAUGCAUCACCAAUAUAUUCAUCUUCUUAGAACUUAUAAGUGCAAUUAUUAUCAAAUAAUCAUAAUGAUAAUAAUAUCAAUAAUUGUAGUUAUAAUUGUGGCCUACAAAGAGCCUUGGUGCAGAAAGCCUUUAAAAUUCGCUAUAUUCUUUGGAAUAUUAUGCAGCAAUUUAAUUCAUUUUUAAAUUGCAGUUUCCAUUUCCAUUAUUUGGAUAUAUAUUUACUGAAACUAAUGCAAAAAUGCCAGCAAUAUCGAGACUAUAAUGACCAUUCCUAAAGUUUGCUUUUUAAUGAGAUAAGGUUUAUUGGAUAUUUUUAUAAAUAUUGGAAUUCAAUUGUAAACAACAUAGCCUUUCAAGAUAAGCUGUAGGUGUAUGGCAAGAUUAAGUUGUCAGUUUGUUGCUUGAAAUCUAUUAUUCUCGAUCCCUGCCCAAUAUUGGCUUAACAAGUUAAAGGUAAUCAAUAUUUGAAUUAAACUCCACCACAAAGUGAUCAAUUAAGAUGCCUUCUAAAAGCACUUCAAGAAAGGUUUAAUUUUCAUAAUUUAGUUCCUGGUGUAGUUAUUGCUUUGCUUUUACUUCAGUGGAAUGAAUGAAUUUGCUUGCAACAGAUGUUCCACUAAAAAAUACUUCACGCAUUAGGCUCAGAAUUUUAAAUGAACAUGCCCUUUAAUGACUUACUCAGUCCACGCAGACACUUAAAAAUUGACACUGAAACCAAGAAAAAUUACUUAAAGGAUCAGUUACAUCUAAAAUGAUGGAAUCAAUAUCAAUAUUUUCCCUGAGAAUCUUUCUCCCUGAUAAGCAAAAUCUUUGCUUAAAAGGUGCAUUAAAAUUUAAUAGCCAGGCAUGUGGUUUGGCAAUUGAUCAUUUCUGGACAGCUGUUCUCUGCUAUGUUUUAGCUUAGUGCUUCUAACCAUUUGAGUGUCAUCUUUUAAUGGCUUAUUUUAAGGACAUUUUGUCCCACUAGACUAGAUCCUACUCAAAAGAGACAAAAUGUCAAUUUAUGGAGUGAGACACAAAGAUUUUACAGAAUUAAACAAAACAAUAAUAGCUACAUAUUAGGUGUCAUACAAGUGACAAUUUGUUCCAGGUGUUCCUUUAUAAGUGGGAAAAAAUCAUGACCCACAACUCCUAAGUAGUGCAGACACAAUAUGAAGGUGUUUCAAACCAUUUAUUGUGCAUUAUUCAGUUUACUACAUGCUUUUUGUCUGUUAUUUUCAAGUGAAGUGAAAAGUUCCAGUGGAAAUAGGCUUGCAAAAGGACAUAUAGAAAUGGUUUGAUUCCAUCAACGUGCUACUAAUUACGAUUCCUCUUGUACAUUUCCUGUUUAAUUUUACUGGUGUGUUCAUUGUACACAUUUACAAACUGUUGUGAUAUUUUGGGCAAUUUAAUCAAAUACUAAUAGAUCAAAAUACUAAAAAAAAGUUUUUUGCACAAAAAUUAUAAUUAUACUCCCAUAUUUAUGGCUGAUGUACUUGUCUGUGAUUUAUCAAAUGCCUUGGAAGGGGGAGAGGGGGGUGGGGAACACUGAAAUGUGUUCAUUUUUACAAGGCACAUUUUUUGCAAACCAUUGUCAGGAAAAAUACUGAAAAAAUAUCCUUGGUAAGAUUGGGUUUGGCUCUUUAUUAGGCAAUUUAGCUAAACCUUAGAACAGGUUUUUGGCCUCUUACCCUUAGCAACAGUAACUAAAAGAAAGGAAAUCCAAUUAAAAUAAAGUAAGGUUAUAUAAAAAAGAUCAUUUUGAUACAGCAAAGUGUGAAUGCAUAAAUACCAAGUUCAAAGUUCAAAGUAUAUUUAUUAUCAAAGUACAUAUAUGUCACCAUAUAUAAACCUGAGAUUUAUUUUCUUGUGGGCAUACUCAAUAUAUCCAUAGAAUAAUAAUCAUAACAAAAUCAAUGGAAGAUUCCCUAGCUAGGGCAUUCAACUAGAGUACAGAAGACACCAAACAGUGCAAAUACAAAAGGAAGAAACAACAAUAAUAAAUAAAUAAACAAUAAGUAUCGAGAAGACGAGAUGAAGAGUCCUUGAAAGUGACUCCAUUGAUUGUGGGACGAGUUCAAUGAUGGGGCAAGUGCAUUUGAGUGCAGUUAUCCCCUUUGUUUCGGAAGCCUGAUGGUUGAAGGGUAAUAACUGUUCCUGAACCUGAUGGUGUGGCUUCUGAGGCUCCGGUAACUUCUUCCAGCUAAAACAAAAUGAAGGAAAUGAACCCACAGUGACAGAAUAUCAUUCAAUGAGGGCAAAAUUCUUACCCAUUUGAAUGUUAACAAUAGAACAUAAUGAAUACAUUUUCAUUGCAAUAAAUGGUAAGGAAACUCAGAUUCUACAAGCACUAUGUUUUACUCUAAGCUUUAUGUGCAGAUGUAAGUCGACACUUGCAGUAUAUAUUCACUUGACAUGGUGCAUUUUGUAACAACAAAAUAACCAAUUAAAAGUCGAACCUUCAAAUUCCUCAAUCAAAUUUUAAAUUAUUUUUAAACAAAAAUGCCACCAGAUUAAAUUUCGUAAGUAAGAUUUGCAAUGGUAUAGAACCAUUCAUGAUAUUUCCAAGUACUUUAUAGCCAAUGAGGCAUUUUCAUAGUGCAGAACGUCUUAUAUGGAAAUGCCACAGCCAAUUUGCACACAGCAAUCUUCUGCAAUUAUCAAUGUGACCAAGAUCAUAUUCUGUUUUAAUGAUGUUGACUGAGGGAUAUUUUUAGUUGUGGUAUUUAAACAUAUAUGUUGUGUGUAAUAUCGCAGGUCUGACACUACCACGUUUCCAAGUGUGCCAAAUUAUUGGGGAUUUUGCACUAUCUGUGUAGGCUUUUAAUUCAAAAAUCCAAUAAAUACAUGGGCAAAAGUACAUCAUUCUAACUUCAGAAUGACUUGUUGAUAAUCAAUUAUCCAACAUCCCUGAGCUUCAUUCCUUAACCAGUAAUCUAAUGGUGUCAUUAAAAUAUUUACUGUGAAUACUAAUGUUGUAAACCAAAAAUGUAAUAUUCCUGACUUUUUAUCUUGCUUUUGAUAUGAAUUUAUGUACUUGAUUUUUGCUUGGACAUUCUCUUGUAUAUCUGCUAAGACAGCAACCAUGAUUGCUGUAUCACACUGUUUUUUUUUUCAUCUGUGACUCUCUCAGGAGGUGAAUGAAUUGAGAUCAGCUUUCAUGCUACUUGCUCUGAUUACACUUGUCCUCCCAGCUCACCUAACAUGACUGCAGAGAUUUGCAGUGAUAAUGUAGUAUUUAUCAAAGAUGGGCUUUUUAAAUGAAUCAAUACAUUCAGUCCUAGCCUGGGAGUUCAGUUUUGAAGCCUGGAAUAGCUGACACAGUGGUCAUACUAUAGUGGCUUGUGGUGAAACAUUCUUCACUAAGCUAUUUUAAUGUGCUUAUCGAAAUCAAUAAGGUUAACUGCAUUUGCCAGCACUGGGGUCAAUAAAAUUUGUACAUGUUCGAUAAAGGAGCUCACUUCAGUAUUGGUUUGUACUUCUAACUGGAUGGUGUCACUACGAUGCAAUUCAUAGAAAAUCUCAUUAUAGAUUAAAGAUAAAUUUUGUUAGCUACAUUGCAUUUUUAUGUUUAGCAUAAGAGAAAAAUUAUGUAGUUGGGUGUAAUCUAAUACUGAUUUAAGCCUUAUAUUUGAAUAUCAACCUAGGCUUGCUUGAAUGUUAAUUAGUCAGAGUGUAUUGACAUCAAAUAUAGAUAUAUAAAAUAUUUUAUAGAGUGAUCAAUAUUAAAUAAUGAAAAUAACAGUAGGUCUUAAACAAAAUUCAUAAGUUCCUACAUGCAAUAUUUCUUUGCUUAAUAUGAUUUGUACCUGUUUUAUAUAUGUGAAGGUACAGGGAUAUAUAUACGUGAAUCUGGUUGAAGAUGAUGCGUAGCUCUUUUGUAAUGUACUGUUAUACCAAUAA
This is a long non-coding RNA of Mobula hypostoma (lesser devil ray), 9042 nucleotides long. RefSeq lists it as uncharacterized. The record is from RefSeq and is a predicted model, not a curated record. The transcript is spliced from 3 exons. Lineage: Eukaryota; Metazoa; Chordata; Chondrichthyes; Myliobatiformes; Myliobatidae.